GACGAACGCUGGCGGCGUGCUUAAUACAUGCAAGUCAACUUGACUUUAGAUAGCAAUAUCGAAAAGUAGGGUGGCGCACGGGUGCGUAACGCGUAGGUAAUCUGCCCUGAGGUCUGACAUAACCCGUCGAAAGGCGGGCUAACAUCAGAUGAUAUAUAAUCACGACAUCGUGGAAAUAUCAAAUCUUCGGAGCCUUGGGAUGAGCCUGCGUCUGAUUAGGUAGUUGGCGGAGUAAUAGCCCACCAAGCCUACGAUCAGUAGCUGGUCUGAGAGGAUGAUCAGCCACACUGGAACUGAGACACGGUCCAGACUCCUACGGGAGGCAGCAGUAAGGAAUAUUGCUCAAUGGGGGAAACCCUGAAGCAGCAACGCCGCGUGAAGGAUGAAAUACUUUUGAUGUAAACUUCUGUAAGAUGGGAAAAAUAUUCUCCUCGGGAGAAUUGAUUGUACCAUCAGAGUAAGCCCCGG
This 468-nucleotide ribosomal RNA is filed under the name uncultured bacterium. Its description in RNAcentral is "bacterial SSU rRNA". It matches the Rfam family "Bacterial small subunit ribosomal RNA", at positions 28 to 496 of the family's 1533-position model. The record is from RNAcentral.